UGGGGAAUAUUGCACAAUGGGCGAAAGCCUGAUGCAGCAACGCCGCGUGAGUGAUGAAGGCCUUCGGGUUGUAAAGCUCUGUCUUCUGGGACGAUAAUGACGGUACCAGAGGAGGAAGCCACGGCUAACUACGUGCCAGCAGCCGCGGUAAUACGUAGGGGGCAAGCGUUGUCCGGAUUUACUGGGUGUAAAGGGUGCUCAGGCGGAUUUGUAAGUCAGAGGUGAAAUCUUACAGCUUAACUGUGAAACUGCCUUUGAUACUGCAAGCCUAGAGUAUGGAAGAGAGUGAUGGAAUAUCUGGUGUAGCAGUGAAAUGCGUAGAUAUCAGAUAGAACACCAAUGGCGAAGGCAGUCACUUGGUCCAUUACUGACGCUAAAGCACGAAAGCGUGGGUAGCAAGCA
This 402-nucleotide ribosomal RNA is filed under the name uncultured bacterium. RNAcentral's name for it is "bacterial SSU rRNA". It matches the Rfam family "Bacterial small subunit ribosomal RNA", at positions 355 to 774 of the family's 1533-position model. The record is from RNAcentral.